UUUACCUUCCAACCAAAAACAAUU
RNAcentral lists this small nuclear RNA (24 nucleotides) under Arabidopsis thaliana (thale cress). RNAcentral describes it as "snRNA_04911". The record is from RNAcentral. Lineage: Eukaryota; Viridiplantae; Streptophyta; Magnoliopsida; Brassicales; Brassicaceae.